GAACGCACCUUGCACCCUUUGGCAUUCCGAAGGGUAUGCUCGUUUGAGUGUCAUUGUACUCUCACACUCUCUGAUCCUUUGGAUUCAGGGAGCGGUGGACUUGGGUGUUUGCUGCUUUUCCUUGUGGCUCACCUCAAAUGUGUUAGUGCACCUCUUGGUUGGACAUAGAACGGCGUGAUAAGUGUCUUCGCCGGCGCCUCGCAAGAGGGUGGCCAAUUGGGAGCUCUGUGCUUUCAAACCGUCUUCGGACAAUCUUUGACAACUUGACCUCAAAUCGAGUAGGACUACCCGCUGAACUUA
Molecule: unclassified non-coding RNA, 300 nt
Filed under: uncultured Sebacina
Lineage: Eukaryota; Fungi; Basidiomycota; Agaricomycetes; Sebacinales; Sebacinaceae
Description: sequence contains 5.8S rRNA gene
Source: RNAcentral